CUGGUUGAUCCUGCCAGAGGUUACUGCUAUCGAGGUUCGACUAAGCCAUGCGAGUCGAAUGUAGCAAUACAUGGCGUACUGCUCAGUAACACGUGGAUAACCUACCCUUGAGUCGGGGAUAAACCCGGGAAACUGGGUAUAAUACCCGAUAGAUCUCGACUGCUGGAAUGCAUCGAGCUCUAAAGCUCCGGCGCUCAAGGAUGGAUCUGCGGCCUAUCAGGUAGUAGUGGGUGUAGCGUACCUACUAGCCUACGACGGGUACGGGUUGUGAGAGCAAGAGCCCGGAGAUGGAUUCUGAGACACGAAUCCAGGCCCUACGGGGUGCAGCAGGCGCGAAAACUUUACAAUGCUGGAAACAGCGAUAAGGGGACCUCGAGUGCCAGGUUACAAAUCUGGCUGUCGUGAUGCCUAAAAAGCAUUGCAUAGCAAGGGCCGGGCAAGACCGGUGCCAGCCGCCGCGGUAACACCGGCGGCUCGAGUGGUAACCGUUAUUAUUGGGUCUAAAGGGUCUGUAGCCGGCCGGAUAAGUCUCUUGGGAAAUCUGGCAGCUUAACUGUCAGGCUUUCAGGAGAUACUGUCUGGCUCGAGGCCGGGAGAGGUGAGAGGUACUUCAGGGGUAGGGGUGAAAUCUUGUAAUCCUUGAAGGACCACCAGUGGCGAAGGCGUCUCACCAGAACGGACCUGACGGCAAGGGACGAAAGCUAGGGGCACGAACCGGAUUAGAUACCCGGGUAGUCCCAGCUGUAAACGAUGCUCGCUAGGUGUCAGGUGCGGUGCGACCGCAUCUGGUGCCGCAGUGAAAACUUGAAGCGAGUCACCUGGGAAGUACGGUCGCAAGGCUGAAACUUAAAGGAAUUGGCGGGGGAGCACUACAACGGGUGGAGCCUGCGGUUCAAUUGGAUUCAACGCCGGG
Molecule: ribosomal RNA, 913 nt
Filed under: uncultured archaeon
Lineage: Archaea
Description: bacterial SSU rRNA
Rfam family: Archaeal small subunit ribosomal RNA
Source: RNAcentral